Molecule: ribosomal RNA, 288 nt
Filed under: Triticum aestivum (bread wheat)
Lineage: Eukaryota; Viridiplantae; Streptophyta; Magnoliopsida; Poales; Poaceae
Description: partial small subunit ribosomal RNA
Source: RNAcentral
AUGCCCCUGGACUUCACCAAGCACUUCUUCGCGUUGCCGACGGAGUUCAAGCUCAGGAACAACACCGGCUGCUCCUGGAAGGUGAUGGUGAAGUUGAUGAACGACAGGGUGACCCUGGAUCAGGGUUGGGCCACCUACGCAGCUGUUCAUCAGAUCAAGAUCGGCUACAUGGUGACGUUCAAGCUCCUCACUCCCGACACCCUCAAGGUCAUCAUCUUCGACGACGAUGGCAUUGAGGUCGUCAACAAGUGCGGGAAGCACGACGAACCCUUCGCCGCCAAGGACUAG